GGGUUGUGAGGUUAAGCGACUAAGCGUACACGGUGGAUGCCCUGGCAGUCAGAGGCGAUGAAGGACGUGCUAAUCUGCGAUAAGCGUCGGUAAGGUGAUAUGAACCGUUAUAACCGGCGAUUUCCGAAUGGGGAAACCCAGUGUGUUUCGACACACUAUCAUUAACUGAAUCCAUAGGUUAAUGAGGCGAACCGGGGGAACUGAAACAUCUAAGUACCCCGAGGAAAAGAAAUCAACCGAGAUUCCCCCAGUAGCGGCGAGCGAACGGGGAGCAGCCCAGAGCCUGAAUCAGUGUGUGUGUUAGUGGAAGCGUCUGGAAAGGCGCGCGAUACAGGGUGACAGCCCCGUACACAAAAAUGCACAUAUUGUGAGCUCGAUGAGUAGGGCGGGACACGUGGUAUCCUGUCUGAAUAUGGGGGGACCAUCCUCCAAGGCUAAAUACUCCUGACUGACCGAUAGUGAACCAGUACCGUGAGGGAAAGGCGAAAAGAACCCCGGCGAGGGGAGUGAAAAAGAACCUGAAACCGUGUACGUACAAGCAGUGGGAGCCUCUUUUAUGGGGUGACUGCGUACCUUUUGUAUAAUGGGUCAGCGACUUAUAUUCUGUAGCAAGGUUAACCGAAUAGGGGAGCCGAAGGGAAACCGAGUCUUAACUGGGCGUUAAGUUGCAGGGUAUAGACCCGAAACCCGGUGAUCUAGCCAUGGGCAGGUUGAAGGUUGGGUAACACUAACUGGAGGACCGAACCGACUAAUGUUGAAAAAUUAGCGGAUGACUUGUGGCUGGGGGUGAAAGGCCAAUCAAACCGGGAGAUAGCUGGUUCUCCCCGAAAGCUAUUUAGGUAGCACCUCGUGAAUUCAUCUCCGGGGGUAGAGCACUGUUUCGGCAAGGGGGUCAUCCCGACUUACCAACCCGAUGCAAACUGCGAAUACCGGAGAAUGUUAUCACGGGAGACACACGGCGGGUGCUAACGUCCGUCGUGAAGAGGGAAACAACCCAGACCGCCAGCUAAGGUCCCAAAGUCAUGGUUAAGUGGGAAACGAUGUGGGAAGGCCCAGACAGCCAGGAUGUUGGCUUAGAAGCAGCCAUCAUUUAAAGAAAGCGUAAUAGCUCACUGGUCGAGUCGGCCUGCGCGGAAGAUGUAACGGGGCUAAACCAUGCACCGAAGCUGCGGCAGCGACACUAUGUGUUGUUGGGUAGGGGAGCGUUCUGUAAGCCUGUGAAGGUGUGCUGUGAGGUAUGCUGGAGGUAUCAGAAGUGCGAAUGCUGACAUAAGUAACGAUAAAGCGGGUGAAAAGCCCGCUCGCCGGAAGACCAAGGGUUCCUGUCCAACGUUAAUCGGGGCAGGGUGAGUCGACCCCUAAGGCGAGGCCGAAAGGCGUAGUCGAUGGGAAACAGGUUAAUAUUCCUGUACUUGGUGUUACUGCGAAGGGGGGACGGAGAAGGCUAUGUUGGCCGGGCGACGGUUGUCCCGGUUUAAGCGUGUAGGCUGGUUUUCCAGGCAAAUCCGGAAAAUCAAGGCUGAGGCGUGAUGACGAGGCACUACGGUGCUGAAGCAACAAAUGCCCUGCUUCCAGGAAAAGCCUCUAAGCAUCAGGUAACAUCAAAUCGUACCCCAAACCGACACAGGUGGUCAGGUAGAGAAUACCAAGGCGCUUGAGAGAACUCGGGUGAAGGAACUAGGCAAAAUGGUGCCGUAACUUCGGGAGAAGGCACGCUGAUAUGUAGGUGAAGUCCCUCGCGGAUGGAGCUGAAAUCAGUCGAAGAUACCAGCUGGCUGCAACUGUUUAUUAAAAACACAGCACUGUGCAAACACGAAAGUGGACGUAUACGGUGUGACGCCUGCCCGGUGCCGGAAGGUUAAUUGAUGGGGUUAGCGCAAGCGAAGCUCUUGAUCGAAGCCCCGGUAAACGGCGGCCGUAACUAUAACGGUCCUAAGGUAGCGAAAUUCCUUGUCGGGUAAGUUCCGACCUGCACGAAUGGCGUAAUGAUGGCCAGGCUGUCUCCACCCGAGACUCAGUGAAAUUGAACUCGCUGUGAAGAUGCAGUGUACCCGCGGCAAGACGGAAAGACCCCGUGAACCUUUACUAUAGCUUGACACUGAACAUUGAGCCUUGAUGUGUAGGAUAGGUGGGAGGCUUAGAAGUGUGGACGCCAGUCUGCAUGGAGCCGACCUUGAAAUACCACCCUUUAAUGUUUGAUGUUCUAACGUUGACCCGUGAUCCGGGUUGCGGACAGUGUCUGGUGGGUAGUUUGACUGGGGCGGUCUCCUCCUAAAGAGUAACGGAGGAGCACGAAGGUUGGCUAAUCCUGGUCGGACAUCAGGAGGUUAGUGCAAUGGCAUAAGCCAGCUUGACUGCGAGCGUGACGGCGCGAGCAGGUGCGAAAGCAGGUCAUAGUGAUCCGGUGGUUCUGAAUGGAAGGGCCAUCGCUCAACGGAUAAAAGGUACUCCGGGGAUAACAGGCUGAUACCGCCCAAGAGUUCAUAUCGACGGCGGUGUUUGGCACCUCGAUGUCGGCUCAUCACAUCCUGGGGCUGAAGUAGGUCCCAAGGGUAUGGCUGUUCGCCAUUUAAAGUGGUACGCGAGCUGGGUUUAGAACGUCGUGAGACAGUUCGGUCCCUAUCUGCCGUGGGCGCUGGAGAACUGAGGGGGGCUGCUCCUAGUACGAGAGGACCGGAGUGGACGCAUCACUGGUGUUCGGGUUGUCAUGCCAAUGGCACUGCCCGGUAGCUAAAUGCGGAAGAGAUAAGUGCUGAAAGCAUCUAAGCACGAAACUUGCCCCGAGAUGAGUUCUCCCUGACCCUUUAAGGGUCCUGAAGGAACGUUGAAGACGACGACGUUGAUAGGCCGGGUGUGUAAGCGCAGCGAUGCGUUGAGCUAACCGGUACUAAUGAACCGUGAGGCUUAACCUUACAACGCCGAAGCUGUU
RNAcentral lists this ribosomal RNA (2929 nucleotides) under Escherichia coli. RNAcentral's name for it is "bacterial LSU rRNA". It matches the Rfam family "Bacterial large subunit ribosomal RNA". The record is from RNAcentral. Lineage: Bacteria; Pseudomonadati; Pseudomonadota; Gammaproteobacteria; Enterobacterales; Enterobacteriaceae.